GAGCUGCGGCCGGAGGCGGCAGAAUCUCGAUGACCGGAAUCGUCUUUCCAAAGAGCUUAAUCGCUGGGUCUCCUUUGGGUUCCGACAUUUCUACACCGUCACGGGGAGAGAGGAUAUUGGGGGGGCGGGGGGCGAGAGAGAGAGAGAGAGCUGGGGGCGCCACGUCAUUCGGCAAAUGCAACUCCAGCCACGAGUUGAGUUGUCUUUGUAGCCUUGGAAAAUUAUGUUCCGCUUUUCCUCUUUCUCUGCUUUUUGGCCUUUUUGAUUCUCCACAAAACAAAAGAGGAAACAAUACUCGAAA
Molecule: long non-coding RNA, 301 nt
Organism: Rhododendron vialii
Lineage: Eukaryota; Viridiplantae; Streptophyta; Magnoliopsida; Ericales; Ericaceae
Exons: 2
Source: RefSeq, a predicted model, not a curated record